Ictalurus punctatus (channel catfish) is the source of this 971-nucleotide long non-coding RNA. The record is from Ensembl. NCBI's taxonomy places the organism in Eukaryota, Metazoa, Chordata, Actinopteri, Siluriformes, Ictaluridae.
AGGGGUAUUUUUCUAGAGUUUUUGCAAAGGGCUCUUUUUUGUAGAGUUGUAUCAGUAGUGUCUGUUUGCUUUGGCUCUUUGUAAAACACUGCACCACUUAUGGGAUUACUUCUCCACUGAAAUGAAUCCACAUGAUGAUGGAACUGUUAUUUCUUUUGGGUCUUUUAUUUUGUUGUAUAAUAAUAUAAUAAGUUAUGCAUGAAAACUUAUAGUGAGACUAGGGUUUUUUUUUAUGUCUUUUCCCUUGAGCUAUUUCCAAUCUCUUCUCGCUCCCCUUUAUCACUGUCUUUCUUAAAAAUCCAAUUAGGUGACUCUAGAAACUUGCAGACUCACAAUGGACCGUUGUCUGCUUUGCCUCAAACUCAUGCCAAUUUGUCCCAUGUUGCCAUCAAUGGUGAUAGCUUGUUCAGUGGUGUCGAAGCAGUUGCAAGAAUGGGCGGCUUUUUCCUGUCAUCUUCCAAUGUGAGGAGUCCAGCAAGAAGACCUACUAUGGAGAAUAAUAUGGUGAAAAACAGAACUGCAGCAUUAGGUUACAAGAAACCCCCUGUUCUUCAUCAGGUUCUAAGGUGAUGGGUGGUGAUGAGCAGGUUGCUGUAGACUUGGCUCAGUUCCAAAGAGCUGCUGAGUUCCUGCAGUCACAGCGAGGCCUCAGUGCUCUCUCCCUGGAGGAACAGAAACUCCUGCAAUCACUUGAUAGACUCAACCACCGCCUGCAGUAUGUGCAAGAUGUGACGGCAGGAAACACAGCACUGAGGGGCAUUGUUGCCUUGGACUCCGCAUAUAACCAGUCUCCCCAGCCUGGCAAGCGUUCAUGUGCCACUCUGCGCAAGUACCAUGACAGCUCAGCUCACAGCCACACCCGCCCACACACACGCUACUGACUUCAGCUCCCAGAGUGCCCUUCUAUCCCAGCCUGUCCCUUUAAUCCUUAAUGACAAGCACUUUAUCACUCUUACCCUGUUGAUGUUGCC